GGUGAGUGUUCUAGGACUAAUACUAGUUUGACUAAUUAUGUGUUGUAUUGGAUCUAGAAUCUAUGACUUUUAAGUUAUAUUUAAUUAAGUUAUGUGAUUUAGAUAUUAAUUUCUUUAUGUAUGUUAUUUUUUAUGCUUAUAUAUAUAUUUAAGUAUAGUUUUACAUGUUUGGUAGGAUCUUACGAUCUCACGAUUUACGAUUUUUGACCCCCCUCCCGAUCCUAGGUAAGAUCCUGAUU
Abrus precatorius (Indian licorice) is the source of this 239-nucleotide long non-coding RNA. RefSeq lists it as uncharacterized. NCBI's taxonomy places the organism in Eukaryota, Viridiplantae, Streptophyta, Magnoliopsida, Fabales, Fabaceae. The transcript is spliced from 3 exons. The record is from RefSeq and is a predicted model, not a curated record.